Molecule: long non-coding RNA, 260 nt
Filed under: Setaria viridis
Lineage: Eukaryota; Viridiplantae; Streptophyta; Magnoliopsida; Poales; Poaceae
Description: long non-coding RNA (SVIR_LNC004407)
Source: RNAcentral
UUAACAUUGCAAAAGCAGCGGGAAAUGAAAGGAGGGGCCUUUAAUCCUAGUUGCAAAUUCAAACCGGGACAAUAGGGUGCUUUUGAAUCUCCCACGCAAAAAGUACCCUUUAGUCCUGAUUGGAAAUUACAACCGGGACUAGGGGGCUUUAGUCCCGCAUUGAAUUUGCAACCGGGACUAAAGGCCCUUUAGUCCCAGUUGCAAAGUCAACCCGAGACUAGGGCGGCUUAAAACACCCUUACCCAAUUUGCCAUCAAUCC